AGAGUUUGAUGGUGGCUCAGAACGAACGCUGGCGGCAGGCUUAACACAUGCAAGUCGAACGAUAUAGUGGCAGACGGGUGAGUAACGCGUGGAAACGUGCCUUUCACUACGGAAUAGCUUUUGGAAACGAAAGGUAAUACCGUAUACGCCCUCCGGGGGAAAGAUUUAUCGGUGAAAGAUCGGUCCGCGUUAGAUUAGCUAGUUGGUGAGGUAACGGCUCACCAAGGCUACGAUCUAUAGCUGGUCUGAGAGGAUGAUCAGCCACACUGGAACUGAGACACGGUCCAGACUCCUACGGGAGGCAGCAGUGGGGAAUAUUGCACAAUGGGCGCAAGCCUGAUGCAGCCAUGCCGCGUGAAUGAUGAAGGCCUUAGGGUUGUAAAAUUCUUUCGCCAGGGAUGAUAAUGACAGUACCUGGUAAAGAAGCCCCGGCUAACUUCGUGCCAGCAGCCGCGGUAAUACGAAGGGGGCUAGCGUUGUUCGGAAUUACUGGGCGUAAAGCGCACGUAGGCGGACUUUUAAGUCAGAUGUGAAAUCCCGAGGCUCAACCUCGGAACUGCAUUUGAAACUGGGAGUCUAGAGAUCAGGAGAGGUUAGCGGAAUACCGAGUGUAGAGGUGAAAUUCGUAGAUAUUCGGUGGAACACCAGUGGCGAAGGCGGCUAACUGGACUGAUACUGACGCUGAGGUGC
RNAcentral lists this ribosomal RNA (690 nucleotides) under uncultured bacterium. Its description in RNAcentral is "bacterial SSU rRNA". It matches the Rfam family "Bacterial small subunit ribosomal RNA", at positions 8 to 754 of the family's 1533-position model. The record is from RNAcentral.